UCUCGUAGGCUCCGCUGUAGCUCGCAAUGUGACACCAGGACGCACACGCUCUCGCGCGCUCUACCAGGCUCGCUCUCCCUCGCCCUCUCGCUCACACACGCACGCACACACCCACCUCUCCCAUAAACACACACACACACAUGCACACCCACAUCCACGCGCGCCCGCACCGCCCCACGCGCGCACACUCCCGUCCACGCCCACGCCGCGCUCCGGGGAGUCCGGUCCCGGCUAGAGCGCGAAAGGAUACGGAGAAGCCACCCGCGGGGAGCGCAGCGGCGCCCCGGGACGCGGCGCCCUCCCCGCGCGGCCGCCUCGGCUCAGACUCGGCCUGGGGGCCGCCGGCCGGCGAUGGCCCUGGAUUGCCUGCUGCUGCUCCUCCUGGCAUCCGCAGUGGUCGCUAUGGAAGGUAACGUACCCUUCGCGGAGCAAGUUGGCGG
Molecule: long non-coding RNA, 440 nt
Filed under: Marmota monax (woodchuck)
Lineage: Eukaryota; Metazoa; Chordata; Mammalia; Rodentia; Sciuridae
Source: RNAcentral